UCUUCCAAAGGCAAGGCUCUGAAUGAACGGGCGAUAUUGGAUUUGUGGUGGAGAAGAUUUCUACGCAAUGAUGGACAGUGAUCUGAAGGCAGUAGAUGACAGCAGUGAAGAGGAGUAAAAGGGCGGUAUACUUAGAUGACAUGAACAUUAAGAAGAAGAGGGCAGGGACACCAACACUCAUCGCAGGCUUGCAGAUGCCUGCCCGGUAGUCCUGCUGAGCAUGCAUGCCUCCGUUGCCAAGGAGACCCAUUCAUUGCUGUCUCCACAUACAAGGCAAGCUGAGGCCUGCUGUUCAAGAUACUGAGGAGUCUGCUGUUUAUCUCUAACCCUCAUCUUAAUCCACACAAGCCCUGCCGUGAGCUCUCCUGUGACAUAGCCCUGUCCAGAGAGAAUGUCAGCUUUCGCUGCCUGCCCGUGGGCUACCUGCUUCUUUUUGCCUGUCUCUGACUCUGUUCAAGUUGCAGCUCUAGCCACUAAUGGACUGUCCUAUCUCCUCUUUCUUCUGCCAGCAAGGUGAUUGCAAUGCCUGUUCGAAUGUGUCUCUGGAGAAGAGCCAGGUGUCUUAAAUGACACUGCUACAGCCUGAAGGGUCUGUAAGAAUUGGGCUGUGGCAAAAUUCAUUUGGAAUCUCAUGUUAGGGAUGGUGCAAGCUGUGAACAGUUAGUGACCCCUCUCCUCCCAGCUCUGCCCUGGCCUCAAACCAGGACUAUCCAAGGGGAGGAUCACUAUCAAUGGAGAAAUCGAAGACAACCAUAAUAAUGAGGCCUAAUGAAAGAAGCCAAAUAUACUAUAUGUAGUUUAUUUAAACUGUACAUGGUAUGCAAUUUUUACAGUAUUGUUUGCCAUUUUUGUUAAAUGUAAUAAACUCUCCUUUUCUUCUAGAAA
This is a long non-coding RNA of Homo sapiens (human), 885 nucleotides long. The record is from Ensembl. NCBI's taxonomy places the organism in Eukaryota, Metazoa, Chordata, Mammalia, Primates, Hominidae.